CCUACGGGAGGCAGCAGUGAGGAAUAUUGGUCAAUGGGCGGAAGCCUGAACCAGCCAAGUAGCGUGCAGGAUGACGGCCCUACGGGUUGUAAACUGCUUUUAUAAAGGAAUAAAGUGAGGCACGUGUGCCUUUUUGUAUGUACUUUAUGAAUAAGGAUCGGCUAACUCCGUGCCAGCAGCCGCGGUAAUACGGAGGAUCCGAGCGUUAUCCGGAUUUAUUGGGUUUAAAGGGAGCGUAGAUGGGUUGUUAAGUCAGUUGUGAAAGUUUGCGGCUCAACCGUAAAAUUGCAAUUGAUACUGGCAGCCUUGAGUACAGUUGAGGUAGGCGGAAUUCGUGGUGUAGCGGUGAAAUGCUUAGAUAUCACGAAGAACUCCGAUUGCGAAGGCAGCUUACUAAACUGCCACUGACAUUGAUGCUCGAAAGUGUGGGUAUCAAACAGGAUUAGAUACCCUGGUAGUC
RNAcentral lists this ribosomal RNA (460 nucleotides) under uncultured bacterium. RNAcentral describes it as "partial 16S ribosomal RNA". It matches the Rfam family "Bacterial small subunit ribosomal RNA", at positions 338 to 795 of the family's 1533-position model. The record is from RNAcentral.